AGUGCUCUGCUCACUUGGCUGCGAGGAUCGCCACGAAAGGUCAGAGGAAGGAGCUGUGGGAAGCUCGCAGCAGGUAUCGGAGCUUAAGCCAGUGGAUUUGGGGGCCCUGGGCUCCCUAGCCGGCUGCGGUGUGAGAAUGGAGUGGGCAGGAGAGCAGCGGGACUUUCAGGGCUCUGGGUUUGCAGAGAGCCGAAAUGACCAUGACUGCCAACAAGAAUUCCAGCAUCACCCACGGAGCUGGAGGCACUAAGGCCCCUCGGGGGACUCUGAGCAGAAAAUCCUUUGAGUUUGAGGAUGCAUCCAGUCUCCAGUCCCUGUACCCCUCUUCUCCCACUGAGAAUGGUACUGAGAACCAACCCAAGUUUGGAUCCAAAAGCACUUUAGAAGAAAAUGCCUAUGAAGAUAUUGUGGGAGAUCUGCCCAAGGAGAAUCCAUAUGAGGAUGUGGACUUAAAGAGCCGAAGAGCAGGACGAAAAUCCCAGCAACUGUCUGAGAACUCCUUGGACUCUUUGCACAGGAUGUGGAGUCCUCAGGACAGGAAGUACAACAGCCCGCCCACACAGCCUCAAUGAAGACAGCCUCAGCACCACCA
This 592-nucleotide small RNA is filed under the name Pan troglodytes (chimpanzee). RNAcentral's name for it is "processed transcript". Lineage: Eukaryota; Metazoa; Chordata; Mammalia; Primates; Hominidae. The record is from RNAcentral.